CAGCCGCCACGGUAAUACGGAGGGGGCUAGCGUUGUUCGGAAUUACUGGGCGUAAAGCGCACGUAGGCGGCUUGGUAAGUUAGAGGUGAAAGCCCGGAGCUCAACUCCGGAAUUGCCUUUAAGACUGCCGAGCUAGUAGGUGAGAGAGGUAAGUGGAAUUCCGAGUGUAGAGGUGAAAUUCGUAGAUAUUCGGAAGAACACCAGUGGCGAAGGCGGCUCACUGGACGACUGUUGACGCUGAGGUGCGAAAGCGUGGGGAGCAAACAGGAUUAGAUACCCGUGUAGUCCCUGUCUCUUAUAC
RNAcentral lists this ribosomal RNA (301 nucleotides) under uncultured bacterium. RNAcentral describes it as "partial 16S ribosomal RNA". It matches the Rfam family "Bacterial small subunit ribosomal RNA", at positions 509 to 807 of the family's 1533-position model. The record is from RNAcentral.